GACGAACGCUGGCGGCGUGCCUAAUACAUGCAAGUAGAACGCUGAAGACUUUAGCUUGCUAAAGUUGGAAGAGUUGCGAACGGGUGAGUAACGCGUAGGUAACCUGCCUACUAGCGGGGGAUAACUAUUGGAAACGAUAGCUAAUACCGCAUAACAGCAUUUAACCCAUGUUAGAUGCUUGAAAGGAGCAAUUGCUUCACUAGUAGAUGGACCCGCGUUGUAUUAGCUAGUUGGUGAGGUAACGGCUCACCAAGGCGACGAUACAUAGCCGACCUGAGAGGGUGAUCGGCCACACUGGGACUGAGACACGGCCCAGACUCCUACGGGAGGCAGCAGUAGGGAAUCUUCGGCAAUGGGGGCAACCCUGACCGAGCAACGCCGCGUGAGUGAAGAAGGUUUUCGGAUCGUAAAGCUCUGUUGUAAGAGAAGAACGUGUGUGAGAGUGGAAAGUUCACACAGUGACGGUA
RNAcentral lists this ribosomal RNA (467 nucleotides) under uncultured bacterium. RNAcentral describes it as "bacterial SSU rRNA". It matches the Rfam family "Bacterial small subunit ribosomal RNA", at positions 28 to 477 of the family's 1533-position model. The record is from RNAcentral.